AGUUACUAGGCAGUGUAGUUAGCUGAUUGCCAAAAGCACCAAUCACUAGCCACACAGCCAGGUAAAA
Patagioenas fasciata monilis is the source of this 67-nucleotide microRNA precursor. It matches the Rfam family "mir-34 microRNA precursor family". From Rfam's summary of the family: Human mir-34a was discovered computationally and later experimentally verified. The mature sequence is excised from the 5' arm of the hairpin. The record is from Rfam. Lineage: Eukaryota; Metazoa; Chordata; Aves; Columbiformes; Columbidae.